UACGGGGGGGGCAAGCGUUGUUCGGAAUUACUGGGCGUAAAGGGCUCGUAGGCGGCCAACUAAGUCGGAUGUGAAAUCCCCAGGCUUAACCUGGGAAUUGCAUCCGAUACUGGAUGGCUUGAAUCCGGGAGAGGGAUGCGGAAUUCCAGGUGUAGCGGUGAAAUGCGUAGAUAUCAAGAGGAACACCUGAGGUGAAGACGGGUUGCUGGGCUGACACUGACGCUGAGGCGCGAAAGCGUGGGGAGCAAACAGG
RNAcentral lists this ribosomal RNA (253 nucleotides) under uncultured bacterium. RNAcentral's name for it is "partial 16S ribosomal RNA". It matches the Rfam family "Bacterial small subunit ribosomal RNA", at positions 524 to 776 of the family's 1533-position model. The record is from RNAcentral.